CCCUUAGAUGGUCUGGGCGGCACGCGCGCUACAAUGAUGCAUUCAAAAAGUCUUCUGACCUUAGAAGGUUGGGUAUUCUCCAAAGUGCAUCGUGAUGGGAAUAGUUUAUUGCAAUUUUUAAUCUUGAACGAGGAAUUCCUAGUAAGUACAGGUCAUCAACUUGUGUUGAUUACGUCCCUGCCCUUUGUACACACCGCCCGUCGCUCCUACUGAUUGAGUGUCUCGGUGAAUUCUUUGAUCUUCUGUCGAUUCAGUUCACUGAUCCGACGGUGGAAAGUUGAUUGAACUUCGUCACUUAGAGGAAGGAGAAGUCGUAACA
Molecule: ribosomal RNA, 319 nt
Filed under: uncultured eukaryote
Lineage: Eukaryota
Description: partial 18S ribosomal RNA
Rfam family: Eukaryotic small subunit ribosomal RNA
Source: RNAcentral